RNAcentral lists this transfer-messenger RNA (346 nucleotides) under Velocimicrobium porci. RNAcentral's name for it is "Standard tmRNA". It matches the Rfam family "transfer-messenger RNA". From Rfam's summary of the family: Bacterial tmRNA, also known as 10Sa RNA or SsrA, is named for its dual tRNA and mRNA-like properties. Its role is to liberate the mRNA from a stalled ribosome. Lineage: Bacteria; Bacillati; Bacillota; Clostridia; Lachnospirales; Lachnospiraceae. The record is from RNAcentral.
GGGGUUGUACUGGUUUCGACGGGGAUUUUGAAACUCGAGCAGCUAUCCGUGGACUAGGACCACGUUAAAACUUAGAAUUAAAUAUAAACGCUGAAGAUAAUUUAGCUUACGCUGCCUAAUAGCGGCAGCUGUCAACAAUAGGCUUCCUACAUCCUGUUGUUGGCAUCGACUUAGUAGGGAACCUUAUUUGCAAAGCUUUGAGCAGAUAAGAGAUUUAUGAAGCUACCAAGGUUUUUUGGAUGUCGAUUUCCGAAAAACUGAGGGAAGAUUUAAUAAUCGACUGUGAUAGGAGAUACUCGCGUGAAUAGGUUUUCGGACGCGGGUUCGAUUCCCGCCAGCUCCAUUC